GACGAGGGGUCCAAGCGUUGUUCGGAAUCAUUGGGCGUAAAGCGGGUGUAGGCGGCUCUAUAAGUCAGGAGUGAAAUCCCCGAGCUUAACUUGGGAAGUGCUUUUGAUACUGCAGAGCUUGAAUGUGGGAGAGGUUAGUGGAAUUCCAGGUGUAGUGGUGAAAUACGUAGAUAUCUGGAGGAACACCGGUGGCGAAGGCGACUAACUGGCCCAACAUUGACGCUGAGACCCGAAAGCAUGGGGAUCAAACAGG
This 253-nucleotide ribosomal RNA is filed under the name uncultured bacterium. RNAcentral describes it as "partial 16S ribosomal RNA". It matches the Rfam family "Bacterial small subunit ribosomal RNA", at positions 524 to 776 of the family's 1533-position model. The record is from RNAcentral.